UGGGGAAUAUUGGACAAUGGGCGCAAGCCUGAUCCAGCCAUGCCGCGUGAGUGAUGAAGGCCUUAGGGUUGUAAAGCUCUUUUAUGAGGGAAGAUGAUGACGGUACCUCAAGAAUAAGCUCCGGCUAACUUCGUGCCAGCAGCCGCGGUAAUACGAAGGGAGCUAGCGUUGUUCGGAAUUACUGGGCGUAAAGCGCGCGUAGGUGGCUUUUCAAGUCAGAGGUGAAAUCCCCAGGCUCAACCUGGGAAUUGCCUUUGAAACUGUUAAGCUUGAGUACUGGAGGGGAUGGUGGAAUUUCUAAUGUAGCGGUGAAAUGCGUAGAUAUUAGAAGGAACACCGGUGGCGAAGGCGACCAUCUGGACAGUAACUGACACUGAGGCGCGAAAGCGUGGGGAUCAAACAG
Molecule: ribosomal RNA, 403 nt
Filed under: uncultured bacterium
Lineage: Bacteria
Description: bacterial SSU rRNA
Rfam family: Bacterial small subunit ribosomal RNA
Source: RNAcentral